This 253-nucleotide unclassified non-coding RNA is filed under the name uncultured Pirellulaceae bacterium. Its description in RNAcentral is "contains 16S-23S intergenic spacer region". It matches the Rfam family "Bacterial small subunit ribosomal RNA", at positions 524 to 776 of the family's 1533-position model. Lineage: Bacteria; Pseudomonadati; Planctomycetota; Planctomycetia; Pirellulales; Pirellulaceae. The record is from RNAcentral.
UACGAGUGGUGCAAGCGUUAUUCGGAAUUACUGGGCUUAAAGGGUGCGUAGGCGGUGCUGUAAGUCAGGUGUGAAAUCCCACAGCUCAACUGUGGAACUGCGCCCGAUACUGCAGUGCUAGAGGGAGACAGAGGUAAGCGGAACUGAUGGUGGAGCGGUGAAAUGCGUUGAUAUCAUCAGGAACACCGGUGGCGAAAGCGGCUUACUGGGUCUCUUCUGACGCUGAGGCACGAAAGCUAGGGUAGCGAACGGG